This 72-nucleotide transfer RNA is filed under the name Saccharomyces cerevisiae R103. RNAcentral's name for it is "tRNA-Gln". Lineage: Eukaryota; Fungi; Ascomycota; Saccharomycetes; Saccharomycetales; Saccharomycetaceae. The record is from RNAcentral.
UAACAAGUGAAGGUUGGAUAACAGUUUUAUUCCCAUUUUUAUCUGCAGUAUAGGGAACUUGGAAUCACCUUU